CUAGAUUCGCGGCCUAUCAGCUUGUUGGUGGGGUAAUGGCCUACCAAGGCGACGACGGGUAGCCGGCCUGAGAGGGUGACCGGCCACACUGGGACUGAGACACGGCCCAGACUCCUACGGGAGGCAGCAGUGGGGAAUAUUGGACAAUGGGCGGAAGCCUGAUCCAGCAACGCCGCGUGAGGGAUGACGGCCUUCGGGUUGUAAACCUCUUUCAGCAGGGACGAAGCUUUUUUGUGACGGUACCUGCAGAAGAAGCACCGGCCAACUACGUGCCAGCAGCCGCGGUAAUACGUAGGGUGCGAGCGUUGUCCGGAAUUAUUGGGCGUAAAGGGCUCGUAGGCGGUUUGUCGCGUCGGGAGUGAAAUUUCAGGGCUCAACCCUGUUCGUGCUUCCGAUACGGGCAGACUAGAGGUAGGCAGGGGAGAACGGAAUUCCUGGUGUAGCGGUGGAAUGCGCAGAUAUCAGGAGGAACACCGGUGGCGAAGGCGGUUCUCUGGGCCUAUUCUGACGCUGAGGAGCGAAAGCAUGGGGAGCGAACAGGAUUAGAUACCCUGGUAGUCCAUGCCGUAAACGUUGGGCGCUAGGUGUGGGACUCGUUCCACGGGUUCCGUGCCGCAGCUAACGCAUUAAGCGCCCCGCCUGGGGAGUACGGAAUCG
Molecule: ribosomal RNA, 657 nt
Filed under: uncultured Actinomycetes bacterium
Lineage: Bacteria; Bacillati; Actinomycetota; Actinomycetes
Description: bacterial SSU rRNA
Rfam family: Bacterial small subunit ribosomal RNA
Source: RNAcentral